UACGAAGGGGGGCUAGCGUUGUUCGGAAUCACUGGGCGUAAAGAGCUCGUAGGCGGUCUGUUGCGUCCGCUGUGAAAACUCAGGGCUUAACCCUGAGCUUGCAGUGGGUACGGGCAGACUAGAGUGCGGUAGGGGAGACUGGAAUUCCUGGUGUAGCGGUGAAAUGCGCAGAUAUCAGGAGGAACACCGGUGGGCGAAGGCGGCGACCUGGGUUGACACUGACGC
RNAcentral lists this ribosomal RNA (225 nucleotides) under uncultured bacterium. Its description in RNAcentral is "partial 16S ribosomal RNA". It matches the Rfam family "Bacterial small subunit ribosomal RNA", at positions 524 to 746 of the family's 1533-position model. The record is from RNAcentral.